This 116-nucleotide small RNA is filed under the name Marmota monax (woodchuck). Lineage: Eukaryota; Metazoa; Chordata; Mammalia; Rodentia; Sciuridae. The record is from RNAcentral.
GCUGGGCGUGGUGAGGCACGCCUGUAAUCCCAGAGGCUGAGGCAGGAGGAUCACGAGUUCAAAGCCAGCCUCAGCAAAAAUGAGAUGCUAAACAACUCAGUGAGACCCUGUCUCUA